Molecule: non-coding RNA, 111 nt
Organism: Acanthosepion pharaonis
Lineage: Eukaryota; Metazoa; Mollusca; Cephalopoda; Sepiida; Sepiidae
Source: the annotation of a GenBank genome assembly
CGUCCAUAUAGCGUUAAAACAUCGGUUCCUAUACGAUCACCGAUCUUAAGCAACGUCGAGUCUGGUCAGUACCAAGAUGGUUGACCACAUGAGAAUACUAGGUGCUGUAAG